RNAcentral lists this ribosomal RNA (1286 nucleotides) under metagenome. Its description in RNAcentral is "bacterial LSU rRNA". It matches the Rfam family "Bacterial large subunit ribosomal RNA", at positions 1658 to 2925 of the family's 2925-position model. The record is from RNAcentral.
UACAGGUGGUCAGGUAGAGAAUACUAAGGCGAUCGAGAGAACUGUGGUUAAGGAACUCGGCAAAAUGCCCCCGUAACUUCGGGAGAAGGGGGACCAGUCCUGGUGACGACAUUUACUGUCUGAGCUGGGGUUGGUCGCAGAGACCAGAGAGAAGCGACUGUUUACUAAAAACACAGGUCCGUGCGAAGUCGCAAGACGAUGUAUACGGACUGACGCCUGCCCGGUGCUGGAAGGUUAAGAGGACCGGUCAGCCACUUCGGUGGCGAAGCUGAGAAUUUAAGCCCCAGUAAACGGCGGUGGUAACUAUAACCAUCCUAAGGUAGCGAAAUUCCUUGUCGGGUAAGUUCCGACCUGCACGGAUGGCGUAACGACUUCUCUGCUGUCUCAACCACAGACUCGGCGAAAUUGCAGUACGAGUAAAGAUGCUCGUUACGCGCGGCAGGACGAAAAGACCCCGGGACCUUCACUAUAGCUUGGUAUUGGUGUUCGGUUCGGUUUGUGUAGGAUAGGUGGGAGACUGUGAAACUCGCACGCCAGUGUGGGUGGAGUCAUUGUUGAAAUACCACUCUGACCGUAUUGGACAUCUAACCUCGGACCAUGAUCUGGUUCAGGGACAGUGCCUGGUGGGUAGUUUAACUGGGGCGGUUGCCUCCCAAAAAGUAACGGAGGCGCCCAAAGGUUCCCUCAGCCUGGUUGGCAAUCAGGUGUUGAGUGUAAGUGCACAAGGGAGCUUGACUGUGAGACGUACAUGUCGAGCAGGGACGAAAGUCGGGACUAGUGAUCCGGCACCGGCAAGUGGAAGCGGUGUCGCUCAACGGAUAAAAGGUACCCCGGGGAUAACAGGCUGAUCUUCCCCAAGAGUCCAUAUCGACGGGAUGGUUUGGCACCUCGAUGUCGGCUCGUCGCAUCCUGGGGCUGGAGUAGGUCCCAAGGGUUGGGCUGUUCGCCCAUUAAAGCGGCACGCGAGCUGGGUUUAGAACGUCGUGAGACAGUUCGGUCUCUAUCCGCCGCGCGCGUAAGAAACUUGAGGAAACCUGUCCCUAGUACGAGAGGACCGGGACGGACGAACCUCUGGUGUGCCAGUUGUUCCACCAGGAGCACCGCUGGUUAGCUACGUUCGGAAGGGAUAACCGCUGAAAGCAUCUAAGCGGGAAGCCUGUUCCAAGAUGAGGUUUCUCACCACCUAGCGUGGUUAAGGCCCCCCACAGACCAUGGGGUUGAUAGGCCAGAACUGUAAGCACAGCAAUGUGUUCAGGUGACUGGUACUAAUCGGCCGAGGACUUACC